CGAAAUAACCCGUAUGAAAAUUUCAACAGGAGUUCAACUGGACUCCAGCUGGACUUGAGACGUAUUCCAGUCUGACUUUGAAAAGUCCAGUCUGACAUGAGCCGUACACGUACUUUUUCUUAUACUUGGGUUAUUUGCCAGCCGGUAUUUUCUUAAAAGUCCAACCGAACUUUUUGUAAUGCUGACAAGAAAAUAAACACGGCUGGACUUUUGAGGAAAUUUAUUCCUUUCUGUAAAAUGAUCAGCAGGAUUUUUGUCUUAGAAAAUUUAACAUUCAUUUAUGAGCAGGAAUUUAGACUAAGAAAAUUCUUUAACAUCAAUUAGAAACUUGAGCCAUAUAACAGUGAUUUAAUAGCAGUUAGUCUUGUAGAAAUGUGCCAUCUGUUUUCAAUUAACCUCAGUCUGGACAGGUCACAGGAAGUACUAUCUCCACAGAGAUUGAGGCCAUAUGUAGGAGAACACAUUUCGAAAUACAUAUUUCUGCAAUUACUAUCACAUUUAUUAAAAAUUUCAUAAUUAAACAAAUUAAUAAUUGAUUUUCUUUUUUUAAUCUAUCACAUAUUCAAAAUUAAGGCACAUGCAAUUAGUCAUAAGAGGAACAUUUAAAACAACUCCUUAAACAACCUCAUGUAUUGCAAUACAACACAAUUUGAUUUUGGAAUAAACAGGAAGAUGUGUCUUCUUUCUUGAACAAAAUGAGAAUUUCACAUAAUUGUGUGUAAAGCAAAUGUUUGGAAGUAGUUCUUUUCACAUUAAAUAGAGAAGCUAGAUGGAUCAUUCUGACUGGCAUCAAUGACAAAAUUAUUUAGGAAGAUUGCUGUUUGCAUGUGUUUUGGAUUGCAUAUUCUGAUUAUAGCAAGGGAUGCAUGAUGCAAAUUAAAUCAGAAGAACCAACCAUCUGAAGAAAAACUGAGCAGUGGCGGAUCCAGGGGGAGGGUUCCGGGGGUUGGACCACCCCCCCCCCCCCCUUUAUCCUGAGUUAGGAACCUCCCUUUUGAAAAUGGCAGGAUUUGCCCCUGCUGAGAUCAUCUUUAAAAGUCAAACCGCACUUUUUGAAGUCCAGCUGGACUUUUUAAAGUUCAGCUGGACUUUUUAAAGUUCAGCCAUACUUUAAAGUCCGACUGAACUUUAUAGAGUCCAUAUUUUUGCCAUAAAUGCCGGCUGGAUUUUUAUUCAGACGUACUUUUAUUAAAGUCCAGCUGGACUUCAUGAACCGGACUCCUGCUAAUUUAAAUAUUUCGAGCCGGUUUACGGCUAAUUUCGCUGAAAGUCCAGCCGGGGUAUCUAUUAUAAGCAAUUCAAAGAAAAGUCCAAAUGAAUAUUAUAAGUACGGUUCUCAGUACGGCUA
This is a long non-coding RNA of Mytilus californianus (California mussel), 1348 nucleotides long. RefSeq lists it as uncharacterized. The record is from RefSeq and is a predicted model, not a curated record. NCBI's taxonomy places the organism in Eukaryota, Metazoa, Mollusca, Bivalvia, Mytilida, Mytilidae. The transcript has 2 exons.